AGUUUGGAAUCUUGCCCAAUGGGGGAAACCCUGAGGCAGCGACGCCGCGUGGAGGAUGAAGGAUCUAGGUCUGUAAACUCCUUUUAUCGGGAAAGACUUAGGACGGUACCCGAUGAAUAAGCUCCGGCUAACUACGUGCCAGCAGCCGCGGUAAGACGUAGGGAGCGAGCGUUGUCCGGAUUUACUGGGCGUAAAGGACGCGUAGGCGGUCCGUUAAGUGUGAAGUGAAAUCUCCAGGGCUCAACCCGGAAACUGCUUCGCAUACUGGCGGACUGGAGGGAUGCAGAGGUAAGUAGAAUUCCUGGUGUAGCGGUGAAAUGCGUUGAUAUCAGGAGGAAUACCGAUGGCGAAGGCAGCUUACUGGGCAUCAUCUGACGCUGAGGCGUGAAAGCGUGGGUAGCAAACAGGAUUAGAUACCCUGGUAGUCCACGCCCUAAACGAUGGAUACUAGACGUAAGAGGUAUCGACCCCUCUUGUGUCGCAGUUAACGCAUUAAGUAUCCCGCCUGGGGACUAC
RNAcentral lists this ribosomal RNA (516 nucleotides) under uncultured bacterium. Its description in RNAcentral is "bacterial SSU rRNA". It matches the Rfam family "Bacterial small subunit ribosomal RNA", at positions 353 to 883 of the family's 1533-position model. The record is from RNAcentral.